AGUCACUGACAUUAGAUACCCGGGUAGUCCAGGGUGUAAACGCUGCAGACUUGGUGUUGGAGGCCCUUUGGGGCAUUCAGUGCCGGAGAGAAGUUGUUAAGUCUGCUACUUGGGGAGUACGUCCGCAAGGAUGAAACUUAAGGAAUUGGCGGGGGAGCACCGCAACGGGAGGAGCGUGCGGCUUAAUUGGAUUCAACACCGUAAACUCACCAGGGAAGACUGUUACAUGAAGGCCGAGAUGAAGACUCUGCUAGAUUUUCAG
RNAcentral lists this ribosomal RNA (262 nucleotides) under uncultured archaeon. RNAcentral describes it as "partial 16S ribosomal RNA". It matches the Rfam family "Archaeal small subunit ribosomal RNA", at positions 719 to 982 of the family's 1478-position model. The record is from RNAcentral.